Molecule: long non-coding RNA, 1795 nt
Filed under: Homo sapiens (human)
Lineage: Eukaryota; Metazoa; Chordata; Mammalia; Primates; Hominidae
Description: non-protein coding lnc-SFTPA2-6:1
Source: RNAcentral
CUCAGCACUCUCCACCCCGGUCUGUGGUUGCCACAGUCUCCUAAGUGCUGUGAGCUCCAGCGCUCACCCAGAGAUGGAAAGUUUGCUUCUCUUUCUACCCAGAUGAGGAGAUCGAAUCCCAGAGAGAGGAGGUGAUUUAUGUGAGGGUUUUGCGAGGCUGGAAGUCACGCCCACAGCCUCUUGCCAGGCAGCAGUGGGGGCCUCAGCCCCCAGGCCUCUGCCAGAGUGGCCCCAAACUGCUGACUUCAGCAUUUCACUGGCCAGGGCAGAUCAGAUUUCUUUUCUGGCACUUGGCCACCCUGCACACCCUUCCCCCAUCACUAUUUUGAGCUGAGCUCCCCUGUCCCCUCCUCCCAGGGCUGUGGCCCUCACACCCAAAGCCUCACUCCAGGCUGAGGCCUUUCCACCUCUUGACCCACCACCUUCCCUCCAGCCAGGGAAGGCUGGGCUGGUCACGGCCAUGUCUAUCCAGGCCUUGCCAGGGACGCCUUCAGACACAGAGCCAGGGGCCAGCUGCCCUGUGCAAAUGGCGCUGCUAGCUCAAGACAGCCGUCCAGGGUGCUCAGCACUGCCCAAGGAGGCGUCCUGGGACUGGACAGAGCCCACGCCAUGAUCAGCCCUGGCAUUGCCACCUCCUACCUGUGCGACCUCCACCCUGCCCUAACUUCUGCUGUCCACCUCACACCUCACCCUUUGCAGGCACUGCCACUCCUGGUGUCCCCUCCAGCUGCCAAAGGAUUCUGAGCCCCAGCCUGAGCCUAGUGCUACCAUAGAAGUGAGAGGUGUGGAGGGUGCACCUGACCGCAGCACACAGAGAGGCUUGUGGGAAACAAGAUGGCAGUAGGGGAAUUUCGUUUAAAUUUCGGGUGAAAUCUCUGAGUUUGGCAAGCUGGAGGUUGGGUCAGGGCAGGACAUGACCUAGGGAAGAUCAUGUCUCUCGCCUUUCCUGGAGCUAAGCGUGUGGUGCAAACCACAGAGUCCCCUGGAAGUUCAGGGAGAGGGCCUUCUCCAGGGCAAGGCGGCGGGUGGGUUCUUAUCUCCACACCAGCCAGCCUGGGACUCAGCAGUGGAGUGAGCUCCUGAGCAGUGCAUUAGCCCUCUCUGGGCCAGGGAGACCAGGGUGCCCCUGGAGCUUGCUCUUGAAGGGUACAUGGCUGUUCACUGGUGAAGUGUUGGGUACAGGGAACAGCAAGAAAAAGGCACAGAUGGGCAGCAUGUCACUUGCAGGGAGUGACUUUUCUUUAUUUGAGUGUAAGUGCUGUGGGUGGAAGGUCAGCUGGGGCCAGAAGGGGAAGGGGCCCGAAUGCCUUGCAUGUUUCAUCUCAGCUCUGCGGUGAGGCCCAAACCUGAAGUGGGCCUUCAUUUAAGUAUUUGGGGAGAUUCUGCCUGGCCCAACUCAGGCGGUGACUGCAGCAGGAGAGAGAGGUGCAGUCGGAAGAAAGGUCUUGCUGAGCAAACGGGACCCAAAGAGGGAUGUGCAAGAUCUGGAAACAACAAAUGGUUUUCAAACUCAAUAGUCCCCUCCAGCAAUCAGCAAACAGCAGGGUGGCUGCAGAUCUUCCAUCCACCCACUAAGGCAGCCAGCAAUCCCUGUCUCUGCAGUGGCGGAGGAAACCUCUGUCUUUUGCAAUCCCUGUGAUUCGGAAGCUUUCCACCCCUCUGGACCGGCCCCUCUUCCCCUCCCGCCCCUCCGCUCUGAUCCGUGUGGUUUGCUAAGGGAGGAAAGCCAGAGCAGGAAACAGAUAACUUAGGGAGUGGCUGUUCAUGUGAUUAAAAUGUCUUUGCUUUCCAAAAA